GACGAACGCUGGCGGCGUGCUUAACACAUGCAAGUCGAACGGAAAGGCCCUGCUUGCGUGGGGUGCUCGAGUGGCGAACGGGUGCGUAACACGUGAGUAACCUGCCCUUGACUUUGGGAUAACUUCAGGAAACUGGGGCUAAUCCCGUAUAGGAUCUCCUGCAGCAUGGAGGGGGUUGGAAAGUCUCGGCGGUUGGGGAUGGACGCGCGGCUUAUCAGCUUGUUGGUGGGGUAGUGGCUUACCAAGGCUUUGACGGGUCGCCGGCCUGAGAGGGUGACCGGCCACAUGGGGACUGAGAGACGGCCCAGACGCCUACGGGAGGCAGCAGUGGGGAAUAUUGCACAAUGGGCGGAAGCCUGAUGCAGCAACGCCGCGUGCGGGAUGACGGCCUUCGGGUUGUAAACCGCUUUCGCCUGUGACGAAGCGUGAGUGACGGUAAUGGGUAAAGAAGCACCGGCUAACUACGUG
RNAcentral lists this ribosomal RNA (468 nucleotides) under uncultured bacterium. RNAcentral describes it as "partial 16S ribosomal RNA". It matches the Rfam family "Bacterial small subunit ribosomal RNA", at positions 28 to 507 of the family's 1533-position model. The record is from RNAcentral.